This 9656-nucleotide long non-coding RNA is filed under the name Triticum aestivum (bread wheat). RNAcentral's name for it is "long non-coding RNA (TAES_LNC007507)". The stretch from base 570 to 703 matches the Rfam family "MIR1120/MIR1122 microRNA precursor family". The record is from RNAcentral. Lineage: Eukaryota; Viridiplantae; Streptophyta; Magnoliopsida; Poales; Poaceae.
GUAGCAUUCGCUGCUCCAUGCUGGCCCUAUACACUUGUGCUCCUUUACGUCGGCGUUAAACAUUUUGCCUCCAAUCAAGCAUGUUGCCUUGCACAGGAAGCCUACACAGAGUGGACUCCCAGAGGUAUUUCCCCAACACUUUUUUUCUGCAACGAAUUAACAUGCGUGUUUAUAUCCAUGAAGAACUUACAGUCGAAGAGAAAAAAUAAUAAUAGUCGGAAGAAUAGAAUUGAUGCGGUUUCUUCAUGAAUUAUUUGCCGAUUAUCAUCCGUCUGAACCGAAUGAGACAAAAGAAGAGCACAAACCUGCAGAACCAUGAUUCGCGAAUAACACAAGGAUCAGCACAAAGCAGAUGGUAGCAUUUCUCGCACCCAUAAUCGAUGGUGUUGGGCGAAGUAUCAAGUAUACUCUCUCUUUUCUGUUCUUUCUCUAGUUAGUUUUGAUAUGGAGCAAGUACUGUUAUGCCAGAGAGAUUAUGCAAUAUUUAUAGACUUGGAAGAAAAAGAUUUGUAUAGGAGAGGACAAACAUGUUUAAUAACUUCCUUUUUUGAAAAGGAGGUAAAAUAUGUUUAAUACUCCCUCCUCCCAAAAUUAUUGUUUUAGAUUUGUCUAAAUACGGAUGUAUCAAGUCACGUUUUAGUAUUAGAUACAUCCGUAUCUAAGCAAAUCUAAGACAAGAAUUUUGGGGCGGAGGAAGUAACUUCUUUUUUUGAAAGUCUCAAAAUUCUUGUCUUAAAUUUGUCUAAAUACGGAUGUAUCAAGUCACGUUUUAGUAUUAGAUACAUCUGUAUCUAGGCAAAUCUAAGACAAGAAUUUUGGGACGGAUGGAGUAUCUUUUUUUUUUUGACAAGGAGAUAAACAUAUGUUUAAUAACUUCUAUUUUUGAAAAGGAGGUAAAAAUAUGUUUAAUAACUUCUUUUGUUGAAAAUGAGGUAAAAUAUAUAUGUCCAACAACUUGAUAGAUAUGCAAUAUGUUGGUCUGUAAGAAUACCAAGGAGAAAAAAAAUUCUCCUAGACCCUUUCUUUCUCUUAAAAACUUCCGUAAACUUUUAGAGGAAGUUUCUUCAGAGCUACUUUUGUCAGAUCCUGCAAACUUCUUCCUCUAAAUCUGUUUAUUUUAUUUCAUUUUAUUUUCCACUAAAUAAAACUAGAUAAUGGCCUAGGGCCUGCCAGUCAGUGACAUGGGUGUCAGCCUUCGGCGAGGGAGUGCAGUGGCCGUCGGUGAGAGGCGGUGUGGUGACCGGGAGCUGCGCAUGGGCGGGGCGUGUAGUGGCGUAGCGGCUGCAUUCUCGCGGGACGGCGGCGUGUUGGCGGGUUGGCGGUGCGUCGGAAAGUUGCAAGCAGUUUCUAGCCCACCAAAAGCUUACCAGAGGAAAGUUUGGGCCAAGUUUACACGAUCCUCUAAAUUUAUUCCACAUUUCUGGGAUCUGUUGGAAGCUUGUAGAUGCUCUAAAGCUGGGGGGGAGGGGGGGCUCCUAUUCUACGAUGUAUGCGGGGAGUAGCAACGAGACGCACACUCACUUGUCCGUUUGUUUCACUUUGUUUCACUUUGUUAUUUGUUUUACUUUUCCGUUUUUUCUUCUUUAUGAAAGUUUGGAUUUUUUAAAAAGUCCUGAAUUUGAACUCAAAUAAUUUUCAUGAUUUUUUUAAAUUUGAAGAACAUUUUUGAAUAUCACGAAUAUGUUUUUUAACUCAUGAACAUUUUUAAUAUGAUAAAUAAUUUUAAAAUUGAUGAAUUUUAUUUGAAUUUUAUGAACAGUUUUUUAAUUAAAAUUGAUGAAGAUUUUUUGAAUUUGAUGGAUACUUUUUAAAUUUGGUGAACGAAAUAUAUUCGUGAUUUCAAAAAAAAUCAUAGAUUUUAAAAAAGUAUUCACGAAAAGAGAAGAAAAUAAAAAGGAAAAAAUAAAACAAAACAGAAAAUAAAAACGAACAUGAAAAAAUGUAUAAAAAGAAAAUCUAUUAAACGCACCUGAGAAGACCUGGAAUCUUACUGGCUAGCGGCACAUAGGUUGCUGUACUAGCUAGCGCAUGUAUGAUCCUCACUUCUGCAUCUUAAAUUUGAAGAUGGUUUCUCCUAUGCUCAACAUAAUUUUUAUAACCCCGUAAAAAACAUAUUUUUAAUAAACGCGUGUCAUCAAAUGUUUGUGGACACAUCCAUACAUAUCCAUGCAAAAAAAAAAUCCAUACAUAUCCAUGGAGAGCCGUGCAGGCACCGAUCAUCCAAUCAUAUUUUCCAAAUGUCAGUCUAAUGGAGAAAAGAGAGAAGGGAGCGGGAUGAAAAAAUGUAUUUGUGAUGUGGUCCAAGGCUGAGUUGGCGCGUCCGCGGCGUGUUUGGACUCCCCCAAUCACUCCUAGGUUUGGUCUUUUUUUUUCGAACAUCUCCUAGGUUUGGUCCUGAUUUGUGGGAUUUGGGAUGUGAGGACUGCCUGACCCACUGUCCACGGAUAUUUGGCGACUCUCUUUUGUAUGUGAGAAAAACUUUCGAUUUAUUCAUCUUCAAUCAUGAAGUACAAUGAGCACUAGAAAUUAUAAAAAUUACAUCCAGUUUUGUAAACCACCUAGCGACGACUACAAACACUGAGGUGAGUCGAAGGCACGCCGCAGUCAUCGCUCCUCCCUCACUGAAGCGGGGCAAAACUUGUUGUAGUAGGCAGUUGGAAAGUCGUCGUGCUAAGACCCAUAGGACCAACGCACCAGAACGGCAACCACUGCCGAUGAAGAGUGGCGUAGAUCAGAAGGAUCCAACCUGAAGACACGCGAAUAUAGAUGAACGACGACCAGAUCCGAGCAAAUCCACCAAAGACAGAUCCGCCGGAGACACACCUCCACACGCCCACCGACGAUACUAGGCGCACCACCGGAAUGGGGACUAGGCGGGGAGACCUUUAUUCCAUCUUCAAGGAGCCGCCGCUGUCUCGCCUUCCUGAGCAGAACACAAACCCUAACAAAACUCGAAGAAACAUCUAAAAACGGUGUCCUCCCACCCGCAAGGAUAGGGAUCCAUCUCACCCGCAUGGCCCUAAGGCCACCGGAGACAAGGCGGAUCAACGCUGGCGGGAGUCGGAGGAACCCUCGAAUUUUUUUUGGAAGGCGACGGCUACAACAUGAGGAUAUUUGGUGACUCUCGUUGGAUGGUAAAAAGUGUUCGGACCAUCCAGUCCAGAUAUUUAUGGGCGAUUUGGUGAUCUAUAUGGAGUUGCCCUAGGUUCCCAAGAUUUGAAGUCUCCUGGUGUGUAAGGAGCUACGGGCCUCGUCUGUAAGGGGGUGUGUCGCCGGGUCGGUCAUUUUUUUGGGGUUUUGGCCAAUUAUUGUCUGAUUUUUGUUUUUUCUUUAUUUUAUGUGUUUUCAUUGGUUUUAACUUUUUGUUGUGUUUUUCUAUUUUCACUUUUCACAUUUAAUUCAUGAGAAGUUUCUCAAUUUCAUGAAUAAUUUUGAAGUCCUUGAACAUUUAAAAUUUGCAAACAAUGUUUAAAAUCAAUGAAUAUUUUCAAAAUUCAUUAACAUUUUUUUUCAGAAUUCAUGUAUUUUCAAUAUGUUACAUUUUUAAAAUCCAAGCUUUGUUAAAAUACAUGAGCUUCUUUACAUAAAGGAAAUAUGGUAGCAGAUUUCAUUUGAGCUAGCAAUGGAGCGAGUCGGAAAAAAAACUAAGCAAGCGAGCUGAGCAGGUAGCUGAGCUGAGCGAGCGAGAUCUUCAUGGGCCGACCCAUGUAGGCGUUAUAGCAGCAAUUCCAUUGUUUCAAGGUGGAACAAGAGCUCUCAAAGGGCUCACACAAACACCACCAAUAUUUUUUUUGAAAGAUCCAGCAAGUGCUAUCUUCAAUUAGAUUUAGCAGAAAGCAGUGGAAGAACAACAAGGGGAGGAUCUGAAGAUCAAAGAAAAAAAGUCAAUCCUAUUGGCUGCAGAACAAUACUACACACACGACAGAUAGUCAUCCACCCACAACAAGACAACGCAGCUCCGACUCUGGUGAAGAACUACGGAGAACUAGACAAGGCUCGCAUCAUGGAAGAUCACCGAACGAACUAGCUAUUGCCCGUCAUCGUAUGCCACCGGGCCCACACUGCAGCUUCGACUUUCCACGGACACGCUGGAGAAGAGCCGACUACCACGACUAAUGUCACGCCUCUGACAAUGCUCACCAUCAUCAUCAUUGCCACAUAAGCCUAACCGCCCUCAUUGCCACACGAUCAAGCAGAACGAACGACUUCCCCCACCUAUCACUGGUCCCUCUGGCAGUAAGAAGCUCCUGAAACGAUGCCUCAAGAGGUAUGACACACGUCGCCAUCAUCGUUUGAUCCUAGGGGAUCAAGGGUUUCCCCCGAGCUUCCUUGCGUAGUGGAGCUCACACGCCACCUCAAUGAGGCCUUCAAUAAGGAAGCGAAUGCCCACGAGCAUCACCCCAUUGGCCACGGCCACUGCCGGAAACAAGGCCUUAGCCCAGCACUACGCAACUGCCUCCCACCCAAUCAAAUACCGGUUAGACCUUCGUCACCAUCCCCGCCCGACAGCGUGGGUGGUGCUCGAGGGGGUCUGAUUUUCAAGAAUGAAAUAUCAAGGAUAAGAAUGAAAACCCAAACACCACCAGGUAACACCAAGACCGAAACGUGCGUAUAAGGACACCACAACCACACACCUAAUGACUCCACUCUUCUUUCCGAAAAAUACCAUCUCCAACAACAACCUAAUAUGAUAUAACGAAUGAGAAAAAAAAAUACCGCCAAACAUAAUUAAAAAUAACAUGGAAUUGUCUCAGAUCAAUGCUAACAAUAGAUCGGCAUGGCCGAUUGUUUAGACCUCCACUAAGACAACGCAGCACCGACUCUCAGAUCAAUGCUAACAAUGGAUUAGCAUAUCAUAUACAUUCACGAUUACAAAUCAAUGGACAUUUUUUGUCGGGAUAACAAUGCACUUGUUUACAAAAUUCAUAUCAUCACAACAUCGACGAGAAUAAAUUAUUCAGGCACUUUAUAUGCUAAACCAAGAAAUUACAAACUAGUGCCCAUGUUUCUUUGACCAUUUGUGCUAACAAACUAUUUGUCGCAGAGAUAGCAGUAGCAUUGGCUAUUGAAUGAUGACCCUAUGCACUUGUGUUCCUUGACGACAGCAUUAAACAUUUUGCCCGCAAUCGAGCAUGUCGCCUGGCAUAGAAAGCCUACACAGAGUGGACUGCCAGAGGUAUUUUCCCAGCAUUUUUGUUCUGCAACGAAUUAACACACAUGUUCAUAUCCAUGAAGAACUUAUAACCGAAGAAAAACCAAUAGAAUUGCUGCAGAUUCUCCAUGAAUUAUUUGCCGAUUAUCAUCGGUCUGAACAGAACGAGACGAAGAGAAGAGCACAAACCUGCAGAAGCAUGAUUCGCUAAUAACACAAGGAUCAGCACAAAGCAGAUGGUAGCAAUCCUCGCACCCAUAAUCGAAGGCGUUGGCCCUUGGCCGUAGUAUCAAGUAUACUCUCUUUUUUCUGUUCUUUCUCUAGUUAGUUUUGAUAUGGAGCAAGUACUGUUAUGCCAGAGAGAACAUGCAAUAUUUAUAGAUUUGGAAGUUAAAGAUUUCUAGCCUCAUUUGGUAACAGGGGAUCCUCCCAGGAUACCCGUCCUUUCCCUGGGUGAGAAAAAUCUGCUUCCAAAAUAAAGGUACUCUUCAUCAGAUGUGUUUUUUCUGAAUAAUAUGUUUCCAUCGCAUGUGCUUCCAUCAGCAAAAAGAAAGUUUCAUGGCACGUUUCCUAUAAGGGUGUAGACGUAGAACAGGACAGAUAAGUUUAAUAACUUCUUUUUUUGAAAAGGAGGUAAACAUAUUUUUAAUAACUUCUUUUUUGAAAAGGAGGUAAACAUAUUUUCAAUAACUUCUUUUUUGAAGGACGCCGAUAACGUCCACACGUGUGGGCGUUAAGGGGUCUGCCCACACAUUUUAUGUGGUGUUUAAGAGAAUCAGCCAACACACCUACGUGUGGGCAAAACAAGUAAUGCCCACGCGUCUCUUUUUUUUCUCGCAGUCCCUCUCACAUGCCUUCAUGUGGGCAAAAUAGAUAACGCCCACACGCCCGUACGUCAGGCCUCCUACCUUAUGGUCCCGCAUGCCCUGCGUGACAGUCACCACGCGUCCCCGUAGUUGCCAUGGUCUGGACCCUCUUUCAUGUUCAUUUAACUGCAGUUGCCAUGUCGCCGAACUACAGUUGCCAUGUCGGACAACUACAGUUGCCAUGAUUGCUCAACUGCAGUUGUCAUGUAUGGUCUGGUCUACUGCAGUUGCCAUGAUUUCAAAGCUUUAGGAGUUGUCACCUACUAACACUAGGCAGUUGCCAUGUAGCACUACAAAAAAGGCAUGGCAAAAAAACAUGUUCAGGUAAAAGAGAGAGAGCUGCCAUGUGCUCACAAGCACGCUAGGGCAAUUGCCAUGUAAAAGAAAGAGUUGUCAUCUGCUUACAUGCACACUAGGGCAGUUGCCAUGUACUAUGCAAAAACACAUGGCAACUCGGAUAAAAGAGAAUUGCCAUAUGCUUACAAGCAAAGUUAGGGCAGUUGUCAUGUACCAUGCAGAAACACAUGGCAACUGACAACUUUGGAUGUGGGCGAGGAGACGGACGUGUGGGCGAAGUGAUAAACGCUCACACACCAGUCCCUCUGUGUGCGUGAAAACUAGUGUGUGGACAAAUUGCUAAACGCCCACACACCAGCCCCCGGUGUGGUGAAAAAGGACGUGUGUGAGACCGGAUGAAUGCCCACACACCAGCUCAGUCCUACGUGGCACACAAAAACUGCUAGAACACGCUAAGAUUCGUGCAGAAUUGGUUGGACGAGGAUCCAUGCGUGUGGGCAAGUUGCCAGACGUCCACACGUGUGGGCGUUAGUCUUUCCGUUUUUGGAAAGGAGGUAAACAUAUUUUUAUUAACUUCUUAUUUUUGAAAACGAGGUACAGAUAUGUUUAAUAACUUCUUUUCUGAAAAGGAAGUAAAUAUACGUUUAAUAACUUCUUUCUUUGAAAAUGAGGUAAAAACAUGUUUAAUAACUUCUUUCUUUGAAAAGGAGGUAAUAACAUGUUUAAUAAUUUCUUUCUUUAAAAAGGAGGUAAAAAUACACUUAAUAACUUGAUUAAUAUAUGCAAUCUGUUUGUCCGUCAGAAUACCAAAAGUGAGGAAUUCUCCUCGACUCUUUCAGUUGGAGUUAGCGCGCUAGAUCUUUUUGUUUAUAUACAAACUCGCAAAGCUUUUAUUACGUCAUCACAAUAUUUACAAGGACAGAGUAAAGGUUUUCGGGUUGACCUAACCAGACAUGGUGGUCAAUCCCCAAAGAAAGAACAUGCUUUGCGAGGUUGUGAGCCUCUACACUAUAGGUCCUAACCUCGGGCUUAAAAUCACAAGAUGCAAAAGGAGAUGAAUAAUCUAUCAUUUCAUUUACUACCGCUCCAUAGCUUGCUGCAGUCCCCACUUUGAUCGCGUCGAUGAUAACAUUGCAGUCGGACGCCACCACCAUUUGUUGAACAUAAAGAUCCUCUGCCAAUGCCAAAGCCUCACGAGUGGCCAAAGCUUCAAGUGUAGAAGGAUCAUCAAUGAAGGGAAAUAGAAUCCCAGAUGCUCCCAAGCAAGUGCCUUCGUGAUCACGGCAGAUCGCUCCCAACGAUCCAAAACCUCCGCUCCUUGACAUCACAUCAUCCACAUUGAUCUUGCCAUGGUCAAAUGGGGGAGGCACCCACUGGUUUUUUCUGAUAACUGGUGCUUGGGGCCUCACCAUUGCUGGUUUCUGCAAUAUCUCAAUCUCUGUCAUGUAAGAAGAAACAAAGUCGUGGGUAGACGCAUGAUUUUGAAAGAUAUCUUCAUGGAUCGCUUUCCUUUUAAUUUGGUCCAUUAAAUUGCCCAUAGAGUAGUGAUCGUUCUUGUAAAAGAUUCAUGUGAUAAUGUGUUAAUGGACCAAUCGUGGCUAAAACAUGCUGCAAUCCGGGCUUGAGAUGGCACGAUAGGAAAUGGCCCAAAGACCUGAUAUCAGCCCAGGUAGCGUUCAUGUUGGCCAUCUAGCUAGUAAAUGCACAUGAGAAAGGCCUCGAGUCUUACUGGCCCAUUUUUGUGCCUCACUUCUACCACUUAAAUUUGAGCAUAGUUCCUCCUAUAUUCAACACAUUUUUUUAUUAAACGCAACACAUGUCACAAAAUGUCCAAGGACACCGACCAUCCAAUCAUAUAUUUAUUAAAUGUUCGCCCUUUGUCUAAUGGAGAAAGGAGAAAGAAGAGAGUGAGAGGAAAAAGUGGAUUUGUGGUGAGUUUCAAGGAUGAGUUAGUGUGUCCGCAACCUUACUGGACUCCCCCAAACAACUCCUAGGUUUGGCUCCGGUUUGUGGGAUUUUCAGUGUGCCAACUGCCUGGCCCAUUGUCCAUAGAUAUUUGGUGACUUUCUUUGGAUGACGAAAGUGUCUGGACCGUCCGGCCCGGACAUUUAGAAACGGUUUGGUGAUCCGUCUUGGAGUUGCCCUGAUCUCCCUAGAUUUGAAGCCUCCUGGUGUGUCAAGAGCUAUGGGCCCCUCCUAUAAGGGUGUGUGUCGCUGGGCUGAACAAUUUUUUUGGUUUUGAAAGGUUAUUGUCUUGUUUUUGUUCUUUCUUUCUUUUCUGUGUUUUUGUUGUUUUUUUGUUUUUUCAUGCUUUUUUCUAUUAUAUUUUAACUUUUCACAUUUUAAAUAAUGAACAUUUUUAAGAGUUCUUAACAAUUUUUAUAAUUAAUGUGCAUUUUCUCCAAUUCAUUAAUAAAGUUCAUGAACAUUUUAAAUUCCUUGAAUAUUUAAAAUUGCUAACAAUUUUCAAAUUGUCAAACAUUGUUUGAAAUUUGCGAAAAUUCAUAAUUAGUGUAUUUUUAAUUCAUUUUUUCUUCAAAAAAUCCAGGUUUUAUUAAAAUAAGUGAAUUCUUUUGAUUUAAUGAAUUUACUUAAAUAAAAAAUAUGACAGGGGUUAAAACAUGGAGUCAGAGCUCUCAACGAGCUCACACAACACCACCGGGUAACACCGAGGUUAAAACGUGUAAGGACACCACAAUUACGAAUCUAACAACUCCACUCUUCUCUCGGAAUAAAUUAUCAUCUCCAACAACAGCCCAACAUGAUAAUGAGGUAAACACCACCGAAACUUAAUUAAAAUAUAACAUGGAACCAUUUUCGAUCAGUGCUAACAAGGGAUCGGUAUGACCGAUUGCUUAGACCUCCUGAGACGAUUAGCACAUCAUAUACAUUUGCAAUUACAAAUCAAUGGGCAUCUUUUGUCGGGAUAAUAACGCACUUAUCUAUAAAAUUCACAUCAUCACAACAUCGCCGAACAAUGAAGUUGACAACGAGAAUAAAUUAUCCAUUACCUUUAUAUUCUAAACCAAGAAAUAACAAACUAUUCCCCUAGGUUUCCUUGACCAUUUCUAAUAGUGAAGCAAUCUUCGGUUCCACCCUACCAAACUAUUUGUCGCACAGAUAGCAGUAGCACUGGCUAUUGAAUGCUGACCCUAUACACCUGUGUUCCUUGACGACAGAAUUAAACAUUUUGCCGGCAAUGAAGCAUGUCGCCUUGCACAGAAAGCCUAUGCAGAGUGGACUGCCGGAGGUACUUUCCCAGCACUUUUCUUCUGCAACAAAUUAACACGCAUGUUUAUAUCCAUGAAGAACUUAUAACCGAAGAGAAACCCCCCCAAAAA